UGCCAGCUGCAGGUUGGUCUGAUCUCUCUCCUCCACCUCUUGGCUCUUCUGGUCGUAGUUGACGGCGAGCUCCUCCAGCGCCUGCAGCACCUCCUUCACCUCCUCCUUGGCCAGCUGGUUCUCCGUUUGCAGCCGGCACAGCUCCUCCUGGGAGGGACGUGGGGUCAGAUCUAUUCUUGUCUUCCAGCUGUUUGUACAGGUUGCUGAUGUCCUCCUCGUAUUUGCUCCGCUCGUGGCAACAAUAUUAUUUGACUUUUCUUUCACAAAGCUGAACUGUACCUGUAGGUCUGUCUUGAUGAGCGAGGCUCCUGCUUGGACCAGAUAAUGACAGAUAGUUCUUUGACACAGGGACGCAGCUCGGUGAAGGACCGUCUCCCCCCUGGUCAACAGAAGAGAGAGAGAGAGAGACAACAUCACCCGAGGAACAGACAUCAACGGUGUCUGCUGCUUCUUUUGGUGUCUUGUGUUUAUGAUGGCACAUAUAUCAUCACAUAUAGACCGAACAGAGAUCAGAGCACAGAUACAGACACAGCAUCAUCAUCUACACUCCGUUAACAUUUAAAUAAAGUGUUUAGCAUUUUAAAAACCUCAUGGUUUCAGUUCAAUGUUAGAUGUUUUCAAGCACAAAUAGAAUCUGUACUUACUGCAGUUUUUCUGUAACGACUAAAAACUACUUAAAAGGCAGGGUUGGUGAUUUUCUCCAGAUCCACUUUUUAAGAUUGUGGUUGAAAUUGUCUUUUGGUCCUGACAAUGAAAGCAAUGAGCUGAGGUCUGCU
Long non-coding RNA from Labrus mixtus (cuckoo wrasse), 776 nucleotides. RefSeq lists it as uncharacterized. The record is from RefSeq and is a predicted model, not a curated record. NCBI's taxonomy places the organism in Eukaryota, Metazoa, Chordata, Actinopteri, Labriformes, Labridae. The transcript has 3 exons.